UCCACACUGUUCCUUAUUCUGUUAUAUAGUUGUUGCCCCUAAUAGAUUAAUAGGUUAUUAAAUUUAGAUAACGUACAUGUUAUUAUAUAAAGAAUGACUGACCACAUUGUUUUCUCUACCAAAGCUAAUCAGUACCUCUGGGAACCACUUGCAGAACUUGAACUGGGUUCUUUCAAGUAUACACACCUAUAAUUUCAACAGGGUACAACCAUCUAA
RNAcentral lists this long non-coding RNA (216 nucleotides) under Elaeis guineensis (African oil palm). Its description in RNAcentral is "long non-coding RNA (EGUI_LNC004308)". Lineage: Eukaryota; Viridiplantae; Streptophyta; Magnoliopsida; Arecales; Arecaceae. The record is from RNAcentral.